UACAUCAUCAGAAAGAUGCACAUUUACUACAUUUUGGGUGUAUUAAUUAUAUACAAUUUUAAUAAUUUUACAAGUAUAGAAAUAGGGUUCAGGGAGAGCGGAUUGCCAUUAAAACACUUUUGGCAAAGUACCGGUUUGUGCCCUCUUUGUGCUGCUAAUAAGACUCGUGAGUUUCUGUUAUCUAAUGAUGAAAAGUUGAAUUUGCGACACAUAGGAGCUCUACCUAACAAUUCCAUUAAGCAUGUUCGGAUUCAUUGGUUAUUGAAUUUAAUAUGCAUUAGACAUUUGAAUGGGGAACCUGUGUACAAUUUCACAUAUUUAGACGAUUUUUUAGAUUGGAUUCGUCAAGAAAAUUUGGUUCCUGGAUUUGAGUUGAUGGGUUUACCACAAACAGAUGAUGAAAACUCAUAUUAUGAUCCAUAUACAUAUGAUUUUUGGUAUAAUAUUACUUUCGCAAUUGCCAAUCGAUAUAUAGAUCGGUAUGGUGCGAGGUACGUGAAGAAAUGGAGAUUUGAAUCUUGGAACGAACCGGAUCUGAGAAAUUAUAACAUUCUUAAUUUCACACUUUCACAAUAUCUCUCGUACAUUGAGGCCUGUGAAGUUGCUCUGAGGGCUGCAUUUCGCGCGGGCGGCGCACAAGGAAAGCUGAAAUUCGGUGGGCCUGCAGGAUUGUUUAAAAGUAUUGGUAAGCACCCUCUGUGUUGGGGUUCAUUGGAGAUGUGUAACUUGAAGGGACGCAGUUGCCCUUUCCAAUAUAUUUCCUUCCACAAAAAAGGUAACGGUAGUGCUAAUGCUGUUUCACACGACAGUAUUCAGUUGCUGAACAUUCUGUAUUCGAAGUUUCCCAACUUAAAAGGAAUACCUGUAUCGAACGAUGAAGCAGAUGUACUGAGUAAUUGGUCAAGGAGUUUGGAUUGGCGCGGAGAUGUAAGAUAUGCCGCUAUGAUCGCAAAGAUUGUUAUCGAUUUUUACAAAGAGUUGGUUGUAAAAAUGGAGAUUCCUGUGCAGUUGUUGAGUUUUGAUAAUGGUUUUCUUAAUUAUAAUCCUUACUUUUUUACUCAACGAACACUUUUAGCAAGAUUUCAAAUGAAUAACACCAACCCCACUCAUAUUCAAUUUAUUAGAAAGCCCGCAUACUCCGUAAUGGGCUUGUUAUCCUUGUUAGGGGAUGAAUACCUAAAGGAAAAUGUAACGCCGCCGGAUCCUUUUGUUCAGUUUUUAGCCACACGCUCGAUAAGAAACAAAAAUGAAUCCCAUCUGAUUUCAUUAUUGAUUACGUACGUGAAUGAUGAAAGGGAAGAUAAAAAUGUCAAGGAAAUUCGUGUCAAUUUUAACAACCUUCCGAACAAUGAAUGUAAAUACGUUAUUUAUGUUUUGGAUAAUAAAAUUACCAAUCCAUUUCUAUCGUGGAGAAAGCACGGUUCGCCGGUUUUUCCGGCGAUGAAAUUGCGAAAUUUAAUGCGCCAUUGCGAGGAACCGUAUCGACUUGAAGGGCCACGUUCUAUUUUAAAUUUAACUUUACAAAUGAAUUUAGCAUUACCUUCGGUUGCCCUUAUAAACAUCUGCUCCAGAACUUCACAACCUCUCGGUCGUGUAACACGCCUUGUAGCGCACAAUAUUACCAGGAAUGAGGUCUUACUUGUAUGGAAAGAUUCCAAAAUUCGUUCAAAAUGCAUUUUAACAUACGAAGUGGAAUUUCGACCACAAGUUGAGUCUUGUAAUCGUACGAAAUUUAGAAGAAUUAAUCAUAGGGAUACGAUUUUCCUGUCUUAUCAUCAUGCAGUAGAAGGUACCGUAUAUACGUUCGGGCAUUAUAUAUGAGAAACAGUUUAACCGCAAUUGCGAAAUAUCUACCAAUUAAUAAUGUUGGCAACGACAGCUUACAAUUUGGGAAAUCUCGUUUUCACAUGAACGAUUAGGUAACAACUCAGUGGAAGAAUGGACUCAAGGAUGGUACAGAGUCCGAGCUGUGGAUUAUUGGAAUGUACCAGGAAGAUAUUCUAAAGUAAUUCGAUAUUCAGUAAAGUAACAUGCGUCGUGUAUUACUUUCCAUAUAGGUUUAGUUUUCAUUAACUAUGAGAAUGAAGAAAUGUAACUUAGUGGCCAGUCCAAUAAAUUAACAGGUAUUUGCACCUGCUUAAAUAAGA
Molecule: RNA transcript, 2147 nt
Organism: Photinus pyralis (common eastern firefly)
Lineage: Eukaryota; Metazoa; Arthropoda; Insecta; Coleoptera; Lampyridae
Gene name: alpha-L-iduronidase
Exons: 10
Source: RefSeq, a predicted model, not a curated record